UCUCGUUUAGAAAUCAAACAAACAAAUCUAAAUUUUUUUUCAGAUUUUCUUAAAGAUAAAUAAAUAAAAAAAAAUGCUAUUUCGAAAAACUGUGAUAACCAAAAAAAUUGAAUUCAAAAAAGUCGUAUACAACAUCUGAAAAAAAUUUGUAGAUCGAAUUUUUGGGUUGCAAAAACAAAAAGAAAAUAUAUAAAAACAAAUCAGGAAAAAAAAAGGGGCAUACCUCGUUUGAGAGAGAGGGGCGAUGCGGAGCGCACGGGGUGUGGGCCUUUCCAUACAGAGGGAAAAGAGUGACCGCAGGGAGUGCAGGCGGGGGGUGCGGCAAGGUUCAGAGGUGAGCAAUAAGGAGUGUGAGAGAAGGGGAGAUAAAGAGAAAGAGAAAACACGAAAGAGAAAGAGAGUAAGAUGGGGAGAGAUAGGAGAGAGCGCACGAAGAGAGAGAGCGCACGACUUAACGGAUGUUUUUUUAUUAAUCCUCCUUUAAGUCACAGCACGGAUCUCAAAGUGAUCCAAUGGUAAAAAGCUCACUAGCACGAGUCAGGCUAUGCUAGUAAUAGCACACCAGCCUGACUCUAUAGAGCUAGGCUGGUAUACUAUCAGUAGCACGAAGGCCUCCGUGCUACCAAGUUGUUUUCAAUGAUGUAGCUUCCAAAUUGACAAUCAGCUCCGUUAAAUUUGAUCUACACUAUUGAAAGUAUUUGAAAAUUAAAUUUCAUAAUUUUUCGACAUCAUUUACCUAUCAAACAAGUGGUCUAAAAAUGAACUGCUGAAAAUAAAAUUUAAGCUCAGAAGUACUGAUCUUACUCUAAAUAGUGAAAAAAAUUUUCUAUAAAAAUUUCAUCAGAUUUGAAUGGUUUUACACCGUUAAAUUCACAAACUCAUCACAUCAACUAUUAAAAUUGUCAAUUUUGAGACCUUUUGAUCACUAACCAAAUGAUUGCAAAAAAUUAUAAAAUUUAGUUUCCAAAUACUUUUAAUAGUGUAGAUCAAGUCUAACGGAGCCGAUCGUCGAUUUGGAAGCCGCAUCAUUGAAAACAACUUGGUAGCACGCGUGCUACCGAUAGUAUACCCCUCUCUCUCUCUUUCUCUCUAUAUAUAUAUACGGAAUUAUUGGUGCUAUUAGUUUUUUAGCCCUUGGAUUGAGAAAUGUGCGGUUAGGAUGAUGUGGGCCCCCCUAGGGUUGAGUGAGUGGUUGGUUGAAUAGUAUAAUCUAAUGGGUAAAAAUAAUUAAAGGGGUUAAUCUAACGGCAGAAAACUUGAUAGCACCAAGUGUUUGGUGCUAUCGAUAGCAUAGCAGCCGGACUCUAUCUAUAUAUAUAUUUAUAUAUAUAUAUAUAUAUAUAUGGAAUUGAGCUCUUAUGCUUUUAAAAGCACCUAGUUAUUAGUGCUUGUAGGUUUUCGGCCCUUGGAUUAAGAGAUGUGCGGUUAGGAUAAUAGUGAUCUCCUAUGAUUGAGUGGGUGGUUGGUUGAAUAGUAUGAUCUAACAGGUGGAUACGAUCAGAGAAGCAGAUCUAACGGCGGAAAACUUACAAGCACCAAGUGCUUGGUACUUUUAAAAGUACCAUAGCUAGGCUAUAUAUAUAUAUAUAUAUAUAUAGAGAGAGAGAGAGAGAGAGAGAGAGAGAGAGAGAGCUAGGCUUGUGUGUAGAGAAAAAGAGAGGUUAGAAUACUUUUAAUACCAAGGAGCCCUUCGUGUCACUAAGUUGUUUUCGAUGCUGGGAUAUCUGAAUUGAUGAUCGACUCCGCUGGACAUGAUCUACGAUGUUGGAACUAUAUAAAAAUGAAUUCAUAAUUUUAUGACAUCAUUUAUCAAUCAAACAAGGAGUCUCGAAAUGAACUCAUAAACAACUAUGGAAAGGUCUCAAAAUUGACAAAUAUAAGUAUGAUAUGAUGCAUUUAUAAGUUUAACAAUGUAGAACAAUCCAAAUCCAAUGAAAUUUUGAUAGCAAAUUCUUUUCACUAUUUAGCAAGAUCAAUACUUCUGACCUAAAAUUUAAGUCUUUCAUCAUUUCUUUUUAUGAGAUUUUUAUUUUCAGCAGUUCAUUUCAAGACUACUGGUGUGAUAGGUAAAUGAUGUCGAAAAAUUAUGAAAUUCGGUUUGUAGAUAGUUCCAAUAGCGUAGAUUAUGUCUAAUAGAGCCAAUCGUUAAUUCCGAAGUCCCAUGAUCAAAAACAACUUGGUAGCAAAGAGGGUUUCAUGCUAUUAAUUGUAAUACAUACUACAUACAUAUAUACCUACGUAUACAACUAUAUAUAUAUAUAUAUAUAUAUAGAGAGAGAGAGAGAGAGAGAGAAGGGGAGAGCUAAGCUCCUAUGCUUUCGAAAGUACGGAGGCCUCCGUGCUUGUAAGUUGUUUUUGAUGAUGGGGCAUCCGAUUCGGUGAUCGGCUCCGUUAGACAUGAUCUACGGUAUUGUAACUAAUUAAAAACCAAAUUUCAUAACUUUUUUACUUUAUUUGCCUAGUAAAUGAGUAGGCUUAAAAUGAACGACUAAAAAUAAAAAUCUCACAAAAAAUAGCAAUAAAAGAUUCAAAUUUCAAAUCGAAAGUAUUAUUCUUGCUCUUGAUGUUAAGUACAAUUUUCUAUUAAAGUUUCAUGUAAUUUGGAUUCUUCUACUGCGUUGAACUUUCAAACGUGUUACAUCAGCCGUUAAAAUAGUCAUUUUGAGACUCUUUGAUCACUUAGUAAAUGAUGUCGAAAAAUUAUAAAUUUGAUUUCUAAAUAUUUUUAAUAGCAAAAUUAUGCCUAACAGAGCCAAUCACUAAAUCGGAUGCUCCAUCAUCAAAAACAACUUACAAGUACGGAGGCCUCCGUACUUUUUAAGUAUAGGAGACGUACUAUAUAUAUAUAUAUAUAUAUAUAUAUAUAUAUAUAAUAGUAAAAUAUAAAUAUAGAACUAGGCUGAAUAUAUUAAUACAAAAGCCUAUGUGUAUAGUUUUUUAGCCUUUGAAACUGAGAAAUGUAAAGUUACGGAAUGAUGUUGACCCCUAGGUUGAUGAGGCUGUUGAAUAGUAUCAUCUAACGGUAAAAAUAAUGAAAGGGUAAAUCAACUGUGGAAACUCGAUAGCACCAAGCCCUUGGUCCAUCGAUAUAACCAACGACUAUCUAUAUAUUUAUAUAUCAUAGAGAGGAAGAGAGAACAGAGCUGUUCCAGCUAUGGCUUGUAAACACCCACACUUGUGCUUUAAAUUUUUAACCGGUUAAUCUAUCUGCAUCAUGUUAUCCGUAAUUAUACUAAUCCAACAACACCGCCCAGGAGCCAAUUAGAAUAUAUAUAAUAAUAUAUAUCCUAUAUAAUAUAUAUAAAAUAUAUAUAAUUGUACAUAGUAUAAGGCUGGCAAAUAAGAGCCGGCUCGCGUUCGACUCGAUAUUUUGCUCGCUCAGCUCGACUCGAAUUAAAUAGUCCGACUGAACAAAAAAAAGCUCGAAAUUCAUUCAACCGAGCUUAUAUACUCGCUCAUCGAAUUAGCGCUCGAAAACAGCUGAAAACAUCGAAAAUCAUAUAUAUAAAUUAUAUACGAUGAGGCACUAUCUAUCGAAGCAGGUGGGGGGGGACCCCUGCUCCACUUGUUUUGAUUGCAUUUCGAAUCGUAGAUACGGUCACGCUCCGUUAAACUUGAUUUAGAGUUAUUUUGAGAUACCUAGAAAAUAAAUUUUAUUAUUUUUCGAUAUCAUUUGCCUAGUGAUCGAAUAGCCCAAAAUAACACAUUCAAUGGUCCCUAGUGACCGUUUCAAGUUAACGUGUAGAAUACCAAAAUCACGUGAAAUUUGAUAGGAAAAAUCUUAUACUAUAUAAAACUCAAGUCACAUAAUCUUUUAUUAAAAUUUUAAUAUAUUAUUCACAUUUUAAGAUUUUUAUUUUCACCGUUGAUAUUUGAGCCCUUCCUUCCUAGACAAUGAAUGUAAAAUCUAUAAAAUAUUUUUCUAGGUACUUCAAUACUCUAGAUCAGUUUAACGAGCGAUCACAUUGAAAUGAAACACUCGAAAACGACUGGAAGCACAAGGCUCCGCUCCGCUAGAUAGUAGCCUCACUCAUAAUAUAUAAUAUAAUCAAUUAAGAGCUACUAUGCUAGCGAAGAUAGAGGAUGUGCUUUCGUUCUGAUUCUAAUCAAAUCCCUUUAAAUCAUUUUUAUCUUGAUUAAUACAUAUACAUAUGUAGGACCACUCAAUCAUAGGGAUAUUAUUAAUCCUAGGAAACCGCAAUCAUCCACCAUACCAAUCUUAAUCAAAUGGUCAAAAAAUUCAAAACAAUCAAAUCCUCAUAAUUUCGAUACGCAUAGUAUUCUCACAUACUCUAAAUAUAAUAAAGUAUACUUAGAUUCCGCACUAUACCUAUCCGAUAGUACCGACAGCCCUUGACUAUUGAGUUAUCUAAACGUCAAUCUACCCUUUUUAUCAUUUCCACCAUUAAAUAUACUAUUAACCAACCACCCACUCAACCCUAGGGGACACUACAAUUUUAAACCGGGAUCACACAUCUAACCGCAUCAUUCUUUUCAUCCAACUGUCCGAAAUCAAUAUAACCAAGGGCUUGGAACAUGAUAUAUAUACAUAGUUCAAUAUAUAUAUAUAUAUAUAUAUUAAAAAUAUAUAAAUAUAAUAUAUUUUAAUUAUAUAUAGGCUGAGUGAAUAAUCUCAGUUUAGUUAAAAUUGAGCCAAUGUUGUUGACCCAUUAAAACAAAUCCAAUAGACAAAUAAAAGAGCAAAAUUUCACUAAAUUUAUACAUUUUUCUUUUCUUUCUUUCUUUCACAAAGCUCUAAAUUUUCAAUAUGUUUCUCUCUUUCUCUUUUUCUGUCUCUCACCCUAAGUGGCCAAGCUGGAAGCCCUCCAAGUUACCAACUAACAGCAUAUGCCCGCCGUUUGACUACCUUACUAUUAAUUGUGUGCUUGAAAAAAUAUACAUAAUAUUUUAAAAUAAAAAAUUAUUAUUCAUAUAAAAUUUUAAUUUUAGUUAUAUAUGAUUGGAUAGUUUAAUCCAAUAUUUAUCUAUAUAAUUUAUUUAUUUUUGACUGCAUAAAUGGAAAUGAAAAAUAUGGAGAUUGAAGGCGGAAAAAAAGACAUGUGAGGCUGAAAAGAUUAGAUAUUUAACUCAUAAAUUAUUUUUUCAUAUUAUAAUACUAUAUUUUAUAUAAUUAUUUUGUACUUUGAGCUAUUAGAUAUAUUUUUGUAUCAAAUUAUAGAUAAUGUUCUAUACAAAUUAAACUAUUGAUCGUAUGAUGUUGAGAAUUUCAAGCGGCUCGUUUAGGGCUCGAGCUCGCUCGACUCGAAAUUAGGCUCGCUCGAGCUCGGCUCGAAUUAAUUUCAAUCCAAGCUUGAGCUUAAAUUUAGGCUCGAAAUUAAUUUCAAGCCGAAUUUGAGCCGAGGUAAGCUCGCUCGAGCUCGGCUCGUUUCCACCCCUACAUAUGUACAUGUAUACAUGUAUACAUAUGUAUACAUAUGUACAUAUGUAUACAUGUAUACAUGUACAUAUGUACAUGUAUACAUGUAUAUACAUAUGUACAUGUAUAAAUGUACAUAUAUGUACAUAUAUGUACAUAUAUGUACAUAUAGAGUGAGGCUACUAUGCUUCUGGAAGCACGGAGCCUUCCGUGCUUCCAGGUCAUUUUCGAUGUUGCGACUUUCGAAUCAUCGAUCGGCUCCGUUAAACUUGAUUUAGAGUAUUUGGAGUACCUAGAAAAUAAAUUUUAUUAUUUUUCAAUAUCAUUUACCUAGUGAUCGAAUGGGCUCAAAAUUAACAAAUUUCAAUGGCCGUAGUGAGCCGUUUGCAAGUUUAACGGUGUAGAAAUAUCCAAAUCACGUGAAAUUUUGAUAGAAAAUUCUUUAUACUAUAUAAAACAAGAUCAAUAUCUUUGAUCUAAAAUUUUAAUGUCAUAUUAUCACGUUUUGUAAGAUUUUUAUUUUCAGCCGUUGAUUUUGAGCCCCUUAGUUCACUAGGCAAAUGAUAUCGAAAAAUUGCAAAAUUUAUUUUCUAGGUACUUCAAAUACUCUAGAUCAAGUUUAACGGAGCCGAUCGACGAUUCGAAAGUCGCAACAUCGAAAACGAGCUGGAAGCACGGAAGGCUCCGUGCUUCCGAUAGCAUAGUAGCCUCACUAUAUAUAUAUAUAUAUAUAUAUAUAUAUAUAUGUAAUAUACCGAAUCCCUAGUGCGUUGUACCGAACUUUGACCAAAUUGGCCAAAGUGUGGUGAGGGGAUAGUUUGGAGAGGUCCGUGUAACGUUCUGGAGGUUUUGGAGCAAUUAAAAGAGAGUUUGGGACCCAGGAGAGCAAAACCUGAUAUUUCAAUGCAUUUGGGCUAUUUUUGCUCUCGGGUUCUGGACCCUAGCUGCGAGAAAACAAAAAAAAAAUUGUGGGUUGAGUUGAAAUGUCAUGAAUGAAAGGGAUUAAGUUGUAAUUGUUUGGGGAGGGCUUAAGAAUAAGCUCUAACUCUCUCUUUCUCUCAUUCUCUCCCACACAACAAAAGAGAAAACCCUUUCUCUUUCUCUCUAACCCUCUCCCUCAAUCUCUAGCUUCUCUCUCUCCCUAGUAUCUCUCCAACAAGUGAAGUUUGGAGGAGAAAAAGCUUGCUUAGGGGUGAAGCAAGCUCUUGUGCAAGGAAACUUGUGCAGGCAAGGUGCCAAAGGUGAGGUUUUGAGAUUUUAAGCUAGGGUUUUUAUGUAAAUCCUUCGAAAACGAGAUAUUUGGAACCCCUACAUGAUUCUAACUUAGAUAUUGUAUGAAUCACAAGGAUUUUGGGGUUAUUUUGAGAAAAAUGGGUUUCUAGGGUUUCCAAAAGGGGCUUUUGGAUUUGUAGGAUUUUGAUCUAAAUUGAUCCAGCAAUUCUUUAAUUGAAGGCUGUAGAAGAACGCCAAGUAACUUCGAUUCGAAGAGUAGCGAUGUUUCGAUGGUCGAUUGAGGAAAUCGAGCCGAAAUCAAGGGAUUUCAUUUGUUUGUGCCAAAAAGUGCUGAAUCGGCAUCGGAAGCUAAAUUGCUCAGAUCUCCUUGCAAUUGGCAUCGAAUCGAGGUGGCUAGUACUAUCCGGAACAGUUGAAUUUCUAUGUCUAUGUAGCCAUUUUGGUCAUAAAUGUAUACUUGUGAAACUCUAUGCAUUUAGCGUUAAUAUGAUGUUUGAGCUUUCAAUUUCCUUGCAUGCUUCCUAAAGUAAGGUUGGACAAGUUGUAUUGAGAACUCGGUACUUGGACGCAUGAGGAUUGAGUCGUUGGACAUUUGGAACCCUAUGAAAUGCAAAGAACUAGACUGUGAACUUAGAAAACAUUGGAACAUUGGUGACAUAAACUUGUGACAUCUCAUGACUAGUUGUGUUUGGCAGCACUUUGUUGAGUUAGUUGCUAGAGAUUGGUAGAUCCCCGUAUGUUGUUACUUUUGUUACCCUGGUUUGUAGGGUGUCAUCAAGAUGAGAGGACUGGACCGUACUUACACAUAGUCUGUCUGGCUUGUUGGUGGUCGUGACACCACAAGCAGUGAACUCCGGAGUUGUCACACAUGGGUUGAGCGAUUAUCUCCCCACAGACUGCCCUAGAUUGGUUGAGCGGCUAUCUCUCCGUGGGCCUUGGUAUGUGAGUGGGCUCGACCUUCAGGUGAGCCGGAAUGAUUGAGUUAAAAGGUAGAAAGUUGGUAAGCUUCAUGAACAUAGUAUUAUCUAUUGUUUACCCAAUUUCAUAUUGUAGAGGCAUAGUAGUUGCAUCAGUUGCUUAUUACUAUUUAUUUCUUCUUACUACGUAUGCCUGAUUAGACCUAGUGGGAAAAUAGGCGGGGUCAGCGAUCGAACCCACUGGAAACUUCUUUUAGUUCUCACCUCCUUGUUUUGCAGAGCCUAGCACGAGCGGAGCGGUCGAGGAUCGUGACAAGGGCAUUGCGCCCUAAGUAGUGAACUUCCAUGUGUAUUAGAUCACCCUAUAUAUUAGAAAGGUACUUGUAUAUUAUGAGAGACACAUAGAGGCUUCACUUUGGGAGAUGAUAAUAUAUAUGUCAUUGUGAUAUGUAUGUGAGUAACAUGUAUGGAAAUGAUAUAUUUUUGGGUUGAUGUAUGUGAAGCUUAUAUGUUUUAGUUGCAAUAGCUAAGUAAUAUCUCUCGCUCUUGUAAAAUUGCCCUCGUGCAAUUCAUGUAUGUUGUUGUUUUUCCUGAGCACAACUCUAUGUACAUAAUGUUGUUUUAUGCCUUGAGCGGACAGGGGAGGCUCUAUCCGUUCGGCGGUCUAUGUGCGUGUCCGGACCAACCAAAAUGGCAGUUGCAAAGCGUGAAAAUAUAACUCUAUAUAUAUAUAUAUAUAUAUAGUCCGGCUACUAUACUCUUAUGAGUACGAUCACUCUCGUACUCAUAAGUUGUUUUCGAUUAUAGAACUUCUGAAUUGACGAUCCACGCCGUUAAACAUUAUCUAGAGCAUUUAAAACAUCUAGAAAUCAAAUUUUAUAAUUUUUCGACGUCAUUUACCUUACGAUCAAAAUGUCACAAAAUUGACAAUUUUUAACGGUCGGUAUAGGAUAUUUGCUAGUCUAACAGUGUAAAAGAAUCGAAAUCGGUUGAAUUUUUGAUAGAAAAUUCUAUUCACUACAUAGAUAAAGAUCAAUAACUCUGAUCUUAAAUUGAAGGAUCCGAUCAUCCAUUUUUAAGACAUCGUUCGAUUUUGACCGUUCAUUUUAUACUUGCUUGAUGAACUUUAUUAUAAUUUCGAAAACUUACGAAAUUUAUUUUCUAGGAGUUUCAAAUACUCUAGAUCAUAUUUAACGAAGUGGAUCGUCGAUUCGGAAGCACCAUCAUUGAAAACAACUUAUGAGUAUGAAGGGCUCUAUACUCAUAAGAGUAUAGUAGCCCUAGCCUAUAUAUAUAUAUAUAUAUAUAUAUAUAUAUAUAUAUAUAUAUAUAUAGAGAGAGAGAGAGAGAGAGAGAGAGAGAGCAUGCUAGGCUCCUAUGCUUUCGAAGUAAAGAGGCCUCCGUGCUUGUAAGUUGUUUUCGAUGAUGAUGGGACAUCCAUUCACGAUCGGUUCCGUUAGACAUGAUUGUCGCAUUGGAACUAUCUAGAAACCAAAUUUUUAUAAUUUUUGACUUCGUUUGGCCUAGUGAACCGAGUAGCCCCAAAAUGAACGGCUAAAAAUAAAAUCUCAUAAAAAUAGUGAUAAAAUGGACUUGAAAUUAAAUAGAAAAUUCUAGCUUAAAAACGGUGCCACAUCGGCUGUAAAUAGUCUAUUUUUGACCGCUUGUAUUGCUAUGGUAAAUGAUGUUAAAAAAUUAUAAAAUUUGGUUUCUACAUAGUUCCAAUAACGUAGAUUAUGCCUAACGGAGCCGAUCGUCAAAUCGGAUGUCCUAUCAUCGAAAACAACUUACAAGCACGGAAGCCUCCAUAGUUUCGAAAGUACAGGAGACAUACUCUCUCUCUCUCUCUCUCUCUCUCUCUCUAUAUAUAUAUAUAUAUAUGUGUGUGUGUGUGUGUGUGUGUGUGUGUGUGUGUGUGUAUGUACAUAUAUAUAUAUGUGUGUGUACAUAUGUACAUAUAUAUGUGUGUGUGUGUUUAUAUUUGUGUCUCUGUGUGUGUGUGUGUGUGUGUGUGUGUGUGUGUGUGUGUGUGUGUGUGUGUGUGUGUCUACACGCGCGCGCACACAUAUAUAUAGCUUUACUAGAAUAUUAUCGGCAGUAAACGGCUCAGGUUACUACUUACUAUCGAUUUGUUUUUAAUGAUAGAGCUUCCAAAUCGACGAUCGACAACAUUGAACAUUAUUAGCUAGACCAUUUAAAUAAUCUGGAAAUCAAAUUUCAUGUUUUUUCGAUAUUGUUCUCUUGUCCAUCAAGUGGACAUAAAACCCAUAGGCAAAAAUGAAUAUUCUUCAAAAACUGAUCAUACAAUUUUUCUAUUUAAGAUUUAGAGGCUAGAUCUUGUUUUAAAUAGUUUAUAAAAUUUUCGAACAAAAAAUCAGCUAAUUUGGACUCUUCUAUAAUGUUAAACGAGCAAACAUGCGGACCACUAAAAUUACAAAUUUUGUGACCAUUUCAUCAUUCGGUCACUAAUGUCGAAAAACCAUGAAAUUUAAUUUCUAGAUAGUUCGAAUGGUCUAGAUCACGUUCAAGGACGCCGAUCGUCGAUUUGGAGCUCUAUCAUCGAAAACAAAUCGGUAGUAAACCAAGCCACUUACUAUUGAUAGUAGCCUAGCAAUGCUCUCUCUUAUUCUCUCUUUGUAUAUAUAUAUAUAGAAAGAGAGAGAGAGAGAGAGAGAGAACUAGGCUAGAAUAUUAUUAAUAGCACCAAGUCAUUAGUGCUAUUAGGUUUUCGGCCCUAUAUGUGUAGUUAGGAUGAUAGUGGCCUAGGAUUGAGUGGGUGGUUGGUGGAAUAGUAUGAUAUAAGGGGUGGAAAUGGUCAAGGGGUAGAUCUAACGGCGGAAAACUUGGUAGCACCAAGUUCUUAGUGCUAUUGAUAGCAUUGUAGCCGGACUCUCUCUAUAUAAAUGAAGCAACAAAAAAAAAGUCACUGGUAUGCAACAUAAGCAUGUCUUUUCCUUCAUAACUUUUCUUUGCUUGGUCUAAAGAAAACUACCCAAAUAGCCUACUAUGUUAGCAAUCUACCAAGGCAAACCCUUAAGCAUGUAAACAAAAAUGCUUAGGCUGAAAUUAAAAAUAAAUGCAUGUCAUUCUUAUAUGCCACUACUACAUUCUACUAUAGAAAAAAAGGCUUUUCGGGGGCAAAUUGCUAUAGUGCCGCACCUAAUAGCGCUAUAAGGAUAUCAAAUAGAACUAAUACACCACAUUUUAAUACCAAAGCCCCUAAACUACAGACACUCAAUUUUGAUGUUGAUUUUCAUUUAAUUGGUACCCAACACAGACUUCACAGACUAAAACACAACUAAUCCAAAAGGAAAAGUGGUGCCUAAAGUUUGAUUUUCAUUGACAGAGAGUACCGGAAGUUCGACAGUCUUUAUGCUUGCUAAGGGACCAUUUAGCCCCAACCGCCUCCCAUAGAGCAUUUAGUGAAACAUGAAGAGCAUUUAGUGAAAAAUGAAGCUUCUGCUGCAGUGGGAAGUGUAAAUGAGAUUUUGAGUUUAAGAUUCUCAAAAUUAGAACUUCUGAUUCAACUGUAGAGGAAACUAUAACGAGCAAAUAACUAUGGUGCUUCUCCUAAUAGCACUACUCAUACAGCACACUAUACCAAAAAACACUAUACCCUACAGCAAACAGGUCCUAAACCAGAAACCCUUAAUUCGAAGUGUGACUUUCCAAUACAAACUUACCAUAGUGGUAUCCGACCCAAAUUUCACAGACUGAAGCAUAAAUAACCUACACGGAAGGGGGGGUUUGGGGGAAGUGUUCCAAAAUUACCUCAACCACGGCAGUUGAAAAGGCAUGAUUCACCCUUAUAUCUCCUGAAUCCAACCUCCCAAUAUCACAUUCAAACACCCUUCUAAGCUCAACCAGCAAAACCUCACACACCUCCACCACAAGACUUAGGUCGAAUUCAAGAAGCCGAAACGCGCUCAAACAGCACCGCAGAAGUAGCUUCGCAUCCUCCGCCAAAAAUCCCAGAUCCGCAGCUUUCGCGCCCACAUGAGGAGGGCGAAUCAAUUGCCCCGAUCGUCUCUUUAGCUCUUCGAAGAUAAAAUUUGAGACAUUUAAAACAUCCGCAAAAUGUGAUCCCGAUUCUGAACCAGAAAAGUUGGAGAGUAGGGUAUGCAGCUGCUUCAGGAAAUCGGCCAUCAGAAAUUGAGAGGAAGCAGGAAUCAACAAACCCUAAUAAAGCAAAAUUAGGUUAUAAUUUGAAUAUUUUUUUCCAAAUAACGCUAAAGAAUAUUAUAAUUGGCUAAGUAACCCUACUAAAAAAAUAUUUGACAAAAUAACCCUCCUUUUCCCAAGUCAGGAUAAAAAAAAAUUUAAAGCAGUGAAUCAUUCACCGUCUCGUUCACCGUCUUUAAGAGACAGUACCUGAUUUACCGUCUUCGACGGUGAACGAUUUACCGUUUUCAUAAUUUUCUAUUAUACCGGUCGGGAUUAUACAUAAGAAAGAGAAAAAAAAAAUGGUUAGAAUUGUAUGUGGAUGAUAUGAAAAAUAGAAAAAAAUAAGAUUGUUAGGAUUAUACGUGGAUUAUUAAAAUUUUUAUUUGAUUGUUAGGAUUGUAUGGAUAGAUUAUUAGGAUUUUCAGAUUGUUAAGAUUAUAUGUAAUUUGUUAAAAUUUUUAUGUAGUUGUUAGGAUUAUAUAUGGGAUAUAGAAAGAAAUAGUAAAUAAGCGAAAGACGUUGAAUGAUUCACCACUUUUGUAAAAAAUUAGGAAGAAUCGUUUACCGUCUUCAUGAAGGUGGUAAAUCGUCCACCAUCUUUAUGAGAAAAUUUCAACGUGGCUCUUACAUGACAAAAAAAGGAUUAGUUUGCGAAAAAAUUUCAUAGGAUUAUUUACCCAAUUAGAAAAUUUUAUAGGGUCAUUUUGAAAAAAAAAGGUCCUUAUAAAUUUUCUUUUGAAAAACAAAACUAGGAGAGAGCAGAGGACGAGGGAGAUCACCUGUGGAGAGAAAAGUGGCUUCCGGCUUAAAAAGAAAGAGAGCAGUUGGCGAUCAAUUUUUCCUUCAAAAUGGUCUAACCAAAACCUAUGUAACAACCUAACGACUCGCAACCUAUCGAUGAUGAAAUCGCUGUGAGACGAGGAUGGCAGGAAGGAUGAUGGAGUCCUCUAUUUAUCUCUACUAGGUGAGAAUUAAAGAGUUUAGGAAAGGUUAGGAAGAGGUAAAGAGUGGGAAUUUGGAAAAAGUUGGCUAAGAAGAGCAGGAUUAGAGGGAAGGAAAUUGGAAGGUAGAGAGGAAAUGGAGGGAAGAUGAUAGGGGAAGAAGAAGAAGAUCCAAAUAAAAGUGGAGAGAGAGAGAAUUUGGGAAGAAAGAAAGUAGUAUCUAUACUUACUAGUGUAGAGCUAUUAUACUGUCGAAAGUAUAAAAGAGUUGGUGAUUUCGAUUUUUUAACUAUUGGAUCAAGAAUUGUAGGGUCAAGAUAAUAGUAGUCCCCUUCGAUUUUUUAACUAUAGGUUUAGUGCAUAAAACAAGGAAUCUAAAAACUAUUGAUCACAAGCAGAAGACGCAAAAAACAAGGACGAUUAAUUGAACAUAUGCCUUUUACAAAUUAAGACAGAAACUAUAGGUUUAGUGCAUUAUUUGUUUUGCCUGGGAUCAAUUGGAUUAUCCAGCUCUACUCAUCUAGCUAAGGUUAGAAAUGAGUAUCUUAACAUGUGUAUUGGCAAUUUGAAUUAUUGCUGAGGUCCACAUUGUGGUUCUCGAAGCAUUAAUGCGAGACCUUACGAGGUUUUCUGAAACAUGGUUGAGAACUCAGAUUGCAUAUUCAAUGCUGCAAGGGAAAGCCCUAGAAAACACAUAUAUGCAGCAGGAAAUAAUAUACAAAAGUAGAAAAAUUUUCAUGGUUAGCGUUCACUUCUAAAAGCCCAGCUACACUAUGUAAACAUAUACCAAAUGGGCUUUAAAUAAAGCCACAGCUUAAGAGCACUGGAAUUUAGCAAUGUAAAAUUUUUACAGCUUUAUGUAUCAUGGGAACCUUGAGAAAGACUAAGAUAUUAUAAGCAGAGUAAAUUUUAUUUACAUAAUAGAGAAUAGAAAAACAUUGUAGACAAUUACAGGAUUAACGAUGCCAGUAACACAACACAAUCUCAGAUUCUAGCUUAGAAUAAAAGGAAGAGAUGAAAGAUGCAAGUCCCAAAUAUGAGACUCGACAAAAUUAUUGACAAACUACUAAGACCAACUAUUAACAUAACAUUCAAUUCUUAAGAGAAUGAUUCAAAUUGCCAAUACACAUGUAAAGAUACUCAUCACCACAUAAAGCGGUCCUUUCAACUGGAAAUUCAUCAUCAUAAUAUAGAGUAUCUUUGUAGGGUUUAUAGGGCACAGGUUUGCGGGUGUGUUCAAAAUAAUACAAUUAGUUUGUUUUGCUCAGAUUCUAAUGAUAUUUUUUUUUUUGCUGCGACAGACACAAUAGCUUUUUAAACUAGAUAUUUUGCUUCUGAUUUUUUACGGGCUCAUUUUAACUUUUCCUGGAGCACAAACUUUGGACAUUUAAUUUAAUUUUUUUCCAGAUGCUGCUUGGAGUAGAGAAACUAUAUAAAGAUCAGGCAAAACAAAGGCUAAAAAUUAUCCUCAAUAAAUUCCAUCCUUAACAUGUGGGUCGGAUGCUUUCAACCUCCACAUCAUUAAACAAGAGAGCAUUCUCUAGCUCUGCCCAUGGACAAGAUCUUAACUCUAUAUCCGAACAAUUUUUGCAAUAACCAAUCAUAGUUAAAUGCCUAAGCUUUUUGUCUCUGAAGUGGUAGACAAGUAAACAAGAUUAAGUUUUACUCUGUUUCAUGACUCUACCUUUUAGCCUCAGCCAAAAAUCAGUGAAAAAAGGAAAAUAAUAUCAAAGAUAAUGAUUUGUAUUCAAGCAAGUCAAAAUAACUGUGCAUUCAGAAGAACACAGGAAUGAUCACAAAAUUCUGAAGAGCACUUGGGACAAUGCAAUUGUGUCCUUGUGAUGAGGCUUUUUCUGACAGAAAUAUGCAAUAGGAUACAUAUAACCUUAUCCACCUUAACAUCUCUAUAAACAGCAUUAUUCGGACAGCAUUUUGUUAACCACUGCUUAUGAAGUAUGGGUAAAGAACUAUUCACACGCAGCAUCUCGUUGAAAAUGUCAAACUAUUUUCAUUUCCCGUCACGGCAGUUUCAAAUCCUUAAUUAUCGAUGACAAUUUUGUGUAUGCUAGCUUUACCGGAAGUAAGCCAGAGUAAAACACAAACUAAGAUGUUACAAAGGGGAAACACAUACAGAAACUCAUUUAAACAAUAAAUCCAUUCAAAAUCAAAACAAAUAAUGCACUAAACCUAUUUAAACAACAUUUUAUAGCAUCAAUACAAACUAGAAAGAUUUUGCUCAUGGCAUAACAAUAAAUCCUUCAAAAAAUCAAAAAAAAAAUUGGGAUCUGAAAUAGGAAAAGGAAACGGAGAAGAAAUUACCGCACGAACCUUGUUUUGGAGCAAGGAAACCUCAGAAAUGGCGAGCGAUGCCGCUGCGAUUGGCGGAGGUGAUCAUGGCAUGGAUGCCCUAGGUCGAGAGAAGAGGUCGGGGAGAAUCUCGCAUGGUGAAGGUGAUCAUGGCAUGGAUGCCCUAGGUCGAGAGAAGAGGUCGGGGAGAGUCUCGCAUGGUGGAGGUCAUCAUGGCAUGGAUGCGAGGUCGGGGAGAGUCUCGCUGUGAGAGGGGAUCGCGACGGGGUCGAGGAGAGUCUCGCUGUGAGAGGGGAUCGCGACGGGGUCGGGGAGAGUCUCGCUGUGAGAGAGGAUGUAACAACCCUGAAGAAUAAAUGGUAGAAAUAGUAGUAGUAGUAGUUAGCAUGGUAGAGUAGUAAAAAUGUCAACUUUACAAAGUAGAGCAGAGAAGUGACAGCAGGAGGUUGGUGAGGAGUGAGCUCCGCGGAGCGAUCCGGCGGGAAGGCGCUCGGGCGGAACUCCGGCGGGAAGGAGCCUUCGAAGGGGGCUCAGGCGAGCUCGACGGAGCUAGGGCAUCCUCAAAGCUCGGAGAGAGCGACGGGAGGUCCGACGAAAUCCAUGUAGUUGGGGCGAAGGAGAGAGCCGGCGGAUCGGGCGGUCGGAUUACCGGAUCGGGCGUAAAACGCGGACCCAAGCCCCGCCGGAUUGCGGAUGAUGCGGAGAAGGCAGGAACCGACGCCCACUUACCGCUACGCACGGGUCGGGCGAACCAGGAGCUCGGAUCGGGGCGAAAUGGCGAACCCAAAACCCGCAGGGUUGCGGGUAGUGCAGAGAAGGGCGGACCCGAGUCCGUUUGCCCGCCUCCCAGGCGGUUUGGACCAAACAAGCCCACCCGAGGCCCACAAGGCAACCGGAUUCAACCCAUCAGGCCUCAUUCCCCAUUUUUGACAAAUUGCUGUUAACCCCUAGUAACUUAGUUCGCUUACAUUUCAGUACAAGUUGCAUAUGCUACAUAUAGUUAACAGGAUGUAAUUGCAAGGCAUGAAUGAAAUGAAUUAGUUUAUUUUCUUCCCCAAAAGUUCUUCUCCAAACCCUUCUUCUUCUCUACUUUUUCUCUUCCCAAUUCUUCUCUACACCUUUAUCUCUCUCUUAUUUCCCUCAAUUCUCCCCAAUUCUCCCUGAAUCUCCCCAAUCCCUUUUCUCCCUUAUCUCAAUUCCCCUCUUGACCUGCCAGUGAAGGACCAUCAUCCCCGUUGCCAUUCUAAUCUCAGCGAAUUCUCAUCAUUGAUGGUUGCAACAAGUCCGGAUUAACCACUGGGAUAUUACAGGGGAUCGGUUCUCAAAUGUGGGAGAGAGGAGAUAAUAGGCUAGGUUAACAUUACCCCAAUAAUUAAUGUGAGAUACCUACCCUCUCCCAAGAGAAUAGGAUUAGCACUUUGGAAUUAAUCUCAUUACCAAGUGAAUUUAAGAUUACCAAAUAGAUUACCUAAUGUAUUUAGCCAAACACCGUCAUAUUUUCACAUUCCGAUUGGAUUACUAUGUAUCUUAAAAAGAUAACGCGAACCAAACGCGCCCUUAAUUCCAAGUGUAACUUUCCAACACAAACUUACCAUAGUGGUAUCCGACCCAAAUUUCACAGACUGAAGCAUAAAUAACCUACACGGAAGGGGGGGUUUGGGGGAAGUGUUCCAAAAUUACCUCAACCACGGCAGUUGAAAAGGCAUGAUUCACCCUUAUAUCUCCUGAAUCCAACCUCCCAAUAUCACAUUCAAACACCCUUCUAAGCUCAACCAGCAAAACCUCACACACCUCCACCACAAGACUUAGGUCGAAUUCAAGAAGCCGAAACACGCUCAAACAGCACCGCAAAAGCAGCUUCACAUCCUUCGCCAAAAAUCCCAGAUCCGCAGCUUUCGCGCCCACAUGA
Molecule: long non-coding RNA, 16848 nt
Filed under: Ananas comosus (pineapple)
Lineage: Eukaryota; Viridiplantae; Streptophyta; Magnoliopsida; Poales; Bromeliaceae
Description: long non-coding RNA (ACOM_LNC035930)
Source: RNAcentral